AUGUGGCAUCACAGCCUCCCGGGGCGCGGCAGGGGGUGUGCACGCUGGGGAAGGGGGGGGCACCGAAUGCAUUGGAGCAUUUCACGCCCCUGUCCCCUCUCAACCGUCAGGACAAGGCCGUUGGACCGUGGGGAGGCGCGGCGGGCCCCGAUCCCUGCCGGCGGCCUGGCCGUGGCAUCUGACUGGGGGCUGGGGGAAGCUUUCUGCAUCCUCACGGAGCUGAGGGUCCUUGCCCCGGUGCCCUGGAGGGGGCUGCCUCCUUCCUGGGUUCCCGUCCCACGCUGCCGGGGUGUCUCGUCCUCAAGCGCUGGCCCCCGGCAGCCCCGCACCUCGCCGGGCAGCCAGCGGUUUGUGACACCCAGGCCCCCCGCUCCCCAGUCAGCAUCAGAGCAGUUGGUCUCUACAACCCUCCAAACCCCCAGGUGUGCAUCUGAAAUAAAACCUCCAUGCGUCCAUUGCACAGAACCACCCCCCCCGCCCCCCCGCCUUCCCGUCCGUCAGCCGCACAGAUUCCCUCCCUGCCACGGCCCGUCAGUCAUUCAAGUCAGCCCACGUACACCGCGGUGCCUGUCAGCCCCCCAGACCCCCCUGUCCACAGGCCUCCUGUCCCUUUCCCCUCCGUCCGCUGCACAGACCCCCCGGGUCUCCCUUCUGGCCCCCCAUCCCUCCCGGCCUGGUCCGUGCUCCGGCGGUUGCACAGCUUGUGUUGCAAACCCAGGGUGUUUUGCUCCUGCUGAAGUCAAAGCCCAUUCCUUUCCCCCCGGGGAGAAGCAGCAGCACGAAAUAAAUACAACAAUAAAUAAAAUAAAUAUAGGAGGAGUUUCGGAGAGACGGCGGCGUCUCUUUUGUCCUGAUGAGCAGCCCGGAGAGACUCCGUCAGCAGCCCCGCUCGGGAGAAAACCCCGCUGGGAUUUCCCUAGAGAGCCAGGAGCUAUUGCUGCGGCCAGCCAGGCCAGGGCUGCACGGGAGCGAGGGGCUCCGGGUGGGAAACCCCUGGGGCCAGCUCUGGCUGCGGUUGUGUUGCACAGCGAUCCCCCCGGCUGGGAAGUGGAGGAGACAAACACACGCCCGGGAAAGCACUUCUCUCCAAGCCCCCAGCUGCAGAAGGCCCCGGGGGAGCAGCCGGAGGAGGGUAAAGGGCAGCCCGUGCUUCCCGGCCCAUGA
Molecule: long non-coding RNA, 1164 nt
Filed under: Crocodylus porosus (Australian saltwater crocodile)
Lineage: Eukaryota; Metazoa; Chordata; Crocodylia; Crocodylidae
Description: lncRNA (ENSCPRG00005007660.1)
Source: RNAcentral